AUGUAAAUUAUUUACUGGAAAUAAAUGUGUAAGUUUUAUCUGCUCCCUUUUACUUAAUGUUAUGUGCACGUACAUAAUUCUCCAAUUUUGACAGUAGUGAAAUGAUCCUUUUUUUUUCUUUCCUGCAGAGUUUACAUGAACAUCUAUUUUGACUACACCUGAAUUUUUUUCAAUAUUCUAACUUUUCCACAGGCCUUCUGUAUUUCAACAGCUCAAUACAGACAUUGUGUUUUAAGGCAGGGACCAGAGGAGGUCUGGCAAAAAGGGGGUCCAGCUGUAACUCUCCUAUGCUUCAUGUUGAUGCAAGAAGCAAGAAAGGAAAAAAUAUACACAAGAAAAAUACUGAAAAGGAAGACUGCUAAUGCUGCUAAGGUAGGAAUGCAAAGCUCUUGCAGGCACCUCCCUCCUGUCUAGCCUUCACUUACCACUGUGGGGUUGUUAUACAGAAGAGACAGAGUUUAAUUUACAUUGUUUCUUGAAUAAAUCCACUCUCAAAGAUGUGAACUCUGUUGUU
Long non-coding RNA from Parus major (Great Tit), 514 nucleotides. Lineage: Eukaryota; Metazoa; Chordata; Aves; Passeriformes; Paridae. The record is from Ensembl.